UACGGGGGGUCCAAGCGUUGUUCGGAAUCACUGGGCGUAAAGCGCACGUAGGUGGCUUUCAAGUCUGUUGUGAAAGCCCAGGGCCUAACCCUGGAAGUGCAGCAGAUACUGUUAAGCUUGAGUAUGGGAGAGGAUAGUGGAAUUUCUGGUGUAGUGGUGAAAUACGUAGAUAUCAGAAGGAACACCAGUGGCGAAGGCGGCUAUCUGGCCCAAUACUGACACUGAGGUGCGAAAGCGUGGGGAGCAAACAGG
RNAcentral lists this ribosomal RNA (252 nucleotides) under uncultured bacterium. RNAcentral's name for it is "partial 16S ribosomal RNA". It matches the Rfam family "Bacterial small subunit ribosomal RNA", at positions 524 to 776 of the family's 1533-position model. The record is from RNAcentral.